AGUAUAUAUAUGCAUUUUAAUCACUUAAAUAGAUAUCAAUGCAGUAAAAACAAGAGAUUUAUUUUUAUUUCAUUUUUUGCAUUACAAAAUUGGCCUAAAAUUCUUAAAAUAAUGUCACAAUGCAGAGAAUCUUAUUGUUCCUAAAGUAGCCCUAAUGUUAUUUUGUUUAUGCAGGAUAUCAUUUCUUUUAUUUGUUUGAUGAGUUUUACCCUUUGAACUUCUUAUUUGAUCACUUUAUUUAUUUUUUUAAAUUUAUUUUUCUUUGGGGUUUGUUUUCAUAGUUUUUCCCAGAGGUCUGAUUUAUUUGGAAAACAUGAUGUUUGAUGACGAGCCGAACAGAAUCUGAAUUCUGAAGAUGAGGCUCGCUGAAAAAUCCUGAAACAUCAUAUCAGCUGUUUUAUUAGUAUUUUUCAUUUUUAUUAAAUGAAGGGUUUAUGUGUUGAGAAAUAUUUCGGGAGCAGAAUAAAGGACAGACUGAUUUAAAAAAAAUAAAUAAAAAAUUGAAAUAAUUUUUUAUGAAUUAUAAUAAAUAAAAAAACAAUUUUUUUCUACCUCAGAUAUUACCCAGAAUUCCUGUGCAGCUCCUGCUGUGUUUGGUAGCACUAUACAUAUUUCAGGUUUAUGAUCUUUUCAACAUUCCAAAGAUUCCAGCAUUUUUUUUUCUCUUUGUUAAAAUGUUUCGGUCUGUGUUACAAUGUUUACAUAUUUCUGUUGGCAAUCAUUCUGUUUGUUUCCAUGAUAGAGUGCAGUGUGAGUGGUUUAAUGAAUAUUAUACAGUAAAAAUAUGUAUCAUGGAUUUCAUUUGAAUCGAGCGGUGAUUAUUAAAGAUGCAGUUGUUUUUAGUGUGUGUGAUACGCUCAGACGCUUGCUUUGUGUGAGAAUGACUUUAAAUAUGCUUGAAAUAUUUAUUUUUACAGCACUGAAUAAAAACAAAAUUAA
Molecule: long non-coding RNA, 939 nt
Organism: Cyprinus carpio (common carp)
Lineage: Eukaryota; Metazoa; Chordata; Actinopteri; Cypriniformes; Cyprinidae
Exons: 2
Source: RefSeq, a predicted model, not a curated record